This 425-nucleotide ribosomal RNA is filed under the name uncultured bacterium. RNAcentral describes it as "partial 16S ribosomal RNA". It matches the Rfam family "Bacterial small subunit ribosomal RNA", at positions 354 to 796 of the family's 1533-position model. The record is from RNAcentral.
GUGGGGGAUAUUGCACAAUGGGGGAAACCCUGAUGCAGCGACGCCGCGUGAAGGAAGACGUACUUCGGUAUGUAAACUUCUAUCAGCAGGGAAGAAGAUGACGGUACCUGACUAAGAAGCCCCGGCUAACUACGUGCCAGCAGCCGCGGUAAUACGUAGGGGGCAAGCGUUAUCCGGAUUUACUGGGUGGAAAGGGAGCGUAGACGGUGAAGCAAGUCUGAUGUGAAAACCCGGGGCUCAACUCCGGGAUUGCAUUGGAAACUGUUUUACUUGAGUGCUGGAGUGGCAAGCGGAAUUCCGGGGGUAGCGGUGAAAUGCGUAGAUAUCAGGAAGAACACCGGUGGCGAAGGCGGCUUGCUGGACAGUAACUGACGUUGAGGCUCGAAAGCGUGGGGAGCAAACAGGAUUAGAAACCCGAGUAGUCC